RNAcentral lists this long non-coding RNA (693 nucleotides) under Panax ginseng (ginseng). RNAcentral's name for it is "long non-coding RNA (PGIN_LNC008228)". The record is from RNAcentral. Lineage: Eukaryota; Viridiplantae; Streptophyta; Magnoliopsida; Apiales; Araliaceae.
AAUUCUGUGAUUUUUGGGCAAAUGUCAAGACUUAUAUCUCUGUGAUUAUUUACUGUUUUUGUUGUUUAAAAGUUGUUAGGUGUAGCUUGUUAUGUGGUCUUUAAACUCUAAAAGGAAUCAGGUCUAUAUCUAUUGUAGAUCGGGAUUUAUAAGCGGUCAAAGUGGGUUGACCGACAUUGACCGGCUGUUUUUCAAACUCAGAAAAUAUUCUAAGUGUCCAGAAUUAUUUUUUUGGGCAAAUGUCAGGCUUUAUAUCUCGGUUAUAUUUAAUGUGUUUUGUGUUCUAAAGGUUGAUAUGUGUAGAUUGUUAUGUGUUAUUUAACCUCCAAAAAGAAUCAGGUCCAUAUAUAUUACGGAUUAAGAGUUAUUUAAGAUCAAAAUGGGUUGACCGGCAUUGACCAGAAAAUUCUGGGCAGCCCAGAAUUUUCUAAGUGUUGUUUUUUUUGAUAAGGUUUGACCAUACUUUAGAUUCUUGAUUUAUUGUUGUUAUGAUGAUUUUAAGUGUUAGAGUUGUAGUCCUACAUGUUGUCUACACACUGGAAUUGAUAAGAUCGGUAAAAGUUACACGAUCAUCAAGUUAUAGAGGUCCAAAGUAGGCACCUCGAACUGUUCUUCGUGAAGAACAGCUUUGGUAGCUACUUUGAUGGCUGAUUUAUCCCAGAUCUGAUGUUUGUUUAGAGGUUAUGAUUGUUG